ACGGCUCAGUAACACGUAGUCAAUCUACCCUAUGGACGGGGAUAACCUCGGGAAACUGAGAAUAAUACCCGAUAGAACAUUAUGCCUGGAAUGGUUUAUGUUCCAAAUGAUUUAUCGCCGUAGGAUGGGACUGCGGCCUAUCAGUUUGUUGGUGAGGUAAUGGCCCACCAAGACUAUUACAGGUACGGGCUCUGAGAGGAGUGGCCCGGAGAUGGGUACUGAGACACGGACCCAGGCCCUAUGGGGCGCAGCAGGCGAGAAAACUUUGCAAUGUGCGAAAGCACGACAAGGUUAAUCCGAGUGGUUUCUGCUAAAGGAACCUUUUGUCGGUCCUAGAAACACCGAUGAAUAAGGGGUGGGCAAGUUCUGGUGUCAGCCGCCGCGGUAAAACCAGCACCUCAAGUGGUCAGGAUGAUUAUUGGGCCUAAAGCAUCCGUAGCCGGCUCUGUUAGUUUUCGGUUAAAUCUGUACGCUCAACGUACAGGCUGCCGGGAAUACUGCAGAGCUAGGGAGUGGGAGAGGUAGACGGUACUCGGUAGGAAGGGGUAAAAUCCUUUGAUCUAUUGAUGACCACCUGUGGCGAAGGCGGUCUACCAGAACACGUCCGACGGUGAGGGAUGAAAGCUGGGGGAGCAAACCGGAUUAGAUACCCGGGUAGUCCCAGCUGUAAACUAUGCAAACUCAGUGAUGCAUUGGCUUGUGGCCAAUGCAGUGCUGCAGGGAAGCCGUUAAGUUUGCCGCCUGGGAAGUACGUACGCAAGUAUGAAACUUAAAGGAAUUGGCGGGGGAGCACCACAAGGGGUGAAGCCUGCGGUUCAAUUGGAGUCAACGCCGGG
This 836-nucleotide ribosomal RNA is filed under the name uncultured archaeon. RNAcentral's name for it is "bacterial SSU rRNA". It matches the Rfam family "Archaeal small subunit ribosomal RNA", at positions 85 to 922 of the family's 1478-position model. The record is from RNAcentral.